UACGUAGGUCGCGAACGUUAUUCGGAUUUACUGGGCUUAAAGGGCGUGUAGGCGGCUUCGUAAGUCAAGGUUGAAAUCCGGCGGCUCACCCGUCGAACUGGCCUUGAUACUGCGGAGCUUGAGUCAUGGAGGGGUGCGCGGAACUUGUGGUGGAGCGGUGAAAUGCUCAGAUAUCACAGGGAACACCGGAGGCGAAGGCGGCGACCUGGCCAUGUACUGACGCUGUAGCGCGAAAGCCAGGGGAGCGAACGGG
RNAcentral lists this unclassified non-coding RNA (253 nucleotides) under uncultured Planctomycetota bacterium. RNAcentral describes it as "uncultured planctomycete contains 16S-23S intergenic spacer region". It matches the Rfam family "Bacterial small subunit ribosomal RNA", at positions 524 to 776 of the family's 1533-position model. The record is from RNAcentral. Lineage: Bacteria; Pseudomonadati; Planctomycetota.